Bombus impatiens (common eastern bumble bee) is the source of this 288-nucleotide long non-coding RNA. RefSeq lists it as uncharacterized. NCBI's taxonomy places the organism in Eukaryota, Metazoa, Arthropoda, Insecta, Hymenoptera, Apidae. The record is from RefSeq and is a predicted model, not a curated record. The transcript is spliced from 2 exons.
CAUCUUUUUAGGUAAUGGUGAAAUUAUAUUAGGAAUAAUAAAUUUAUUCACUUUUAAAGAAAAACAUCAAGUGUUAUUACUUUCGUGGGAAAAUGGGAAAGUUAUUCACUUCAACCAAAGCGCAAAGAUGUUUAUAACGUCUUUAUUAGGAUGAAUUUUUAUCAUUUGAUCACCAAUAGGCACGGCCAGGCAUCUCUUUUCACGAUCAGUCAACGGGACGUCGAGCGGUUCCUCGACGUCGUGAAUCAAUGCCAGAAUAGGCAGAGCUAAACCGCCGGUAACGUCCGU